This 253-nucleotide ribosomal RNA is filed under the name uncultured bacterium. RNAcentral describes it as "partial 16S ribosomal RNA". It matches the Rfam family "Bacterial small subunit ribosomal RNA", at positions 524 to 776 of the family's 1533-position model. The record is from RNAcentral.
UACGAAGGGUGCAAGCGUUACUCGGAAUUACUGGGCGUAAAGCGUGCGCAGGCGGUUCUGAAAGUCAGCUGUGAAAGCCCCGGGCUUAACCUGGGAAUUGCGGUUGAAACUACAGGGCUAGAAUCUGGCAGAGGGGGGUGGAAUUCCACGUGUAGCAGUGAAAUGCGUAGAGAUGUGGAGGAACACCGAUGGCGAAGGCAGCCCCCUGGGCUGAGAUUGACGCUCAGGCACGAAAGCGUGGGGAGCAAACAGG